UAGGGAAUCUUCCGCAAUGGACGAAAGUCUGACGGAGCAACGCCGCGUGAGUGAAGAAGGAUUUCGGUUCGUAAAACUCUGUUGUUAGGGAAGAAAAAAUGUAUAGUAACUAUAUACAAAAGAGACGGUACCUAACCAGAAAGCCACGGCUAACUACGUGCCAGCAGCCGCGGUAAUACGUAGGUGGCAAGCGUUGUCCGGAAUUAUUGGGCGUAAAGCGCGCGCAGGUGGUUUAGAAAGUCUGAUGUGAAAGCCCACGGCUCAACCGUGGAGGGUCAUUGGAAACUAAUAAACUUGAGUGCAGGAGAGAAAAGUGGAAUUCCUAGUGUAGCGGUGAAAUGCGUAGAGAUUAGGAGGAACACCGGUGGCGAAGGCGGCUUUUUGGCCUGCAACUGACACUGAGGCGCGAAGGCGUGGGGAGCAAACAGG
This 429-nucleotide ribosomal RNA is filed under the name Verrucomicrobiota bacterium. Its description in RNAcentral is "Verrucomicrobia bacterium partial 16S ribosomal RNA". It matches the Rfam family "Bacterial small subunit ribosomal RNA", at positions 355 to 776 of the family's 1533-position model. Lineage: Bacteria; Pseudomonadati; Verrucomicrobiota. The record is from RNAcentral.